This is a long non-coding RNA of Halichondria panicea, 1297 nucleotides long. RefSeq lists it as uncharacterized. The transcript has 2 exons. The record is from RefSeq and is a predicted model, not a curated record. Lineage: Eukaryota; Metazoa; Porifera; Demospongiae; Suberitida; Halichondriidae.
UAUACCGUAUAUGCUUGAUCAGAGGCCGCUCUUGUAUAAAGGCCGCACUCAAAUAGUAGCCUCCCUUGCUAGCAAAAUGAAACAUUUAGUAGCCGCUCUCAAAUAGUAGCCUCAGUGAACUUUGACUCUAGCAUUUCUGCACGUGGCAGCCAAAAAAAUUAUUACUAGCAGCUAGCUACAUGUACGUAGCUACAAGUAGCAGCUUGUUAGUGCUUCACAAAGACUUUCUCAUGGCAGAGUUCAAGUUUAUGCAGGUGGAAACAACUUUUGAUGACAAACUAAAUUAUCUGGAGCUAAUAAACGCCGCUCUUGAACAGUGGCCUCUCUUGAAUUGUAGCCUCCUCUUCUAGCCUCGAUCCCAGGCCGAGUUUUCGCUUUUAUAACGGUUAGGCGAACAACUGGGCCUGGUACUAGUUGUCUGCGCAUGCGUCAAUCGUUUGUCAGAUUCUGACGAAUGGAUAUUCUCGUUCACUUUCGUGACAUUUAUAUUUGUGUACUAUCGUGUACUAGAAGUCAGUUCCCGUUUUAUCAUUAUUGGACUUGAUUGGAAUGGCUCUUAGCUGAAGCUUCUCUCUUCUCUGAAGCUUAUUCUGAAGACUGAACAACAAGGGAAGAGGUAUAAAGCUUUGUCAAGCUUGUUAAGGUCAGAUAUUUUUGUGUGGGCCCUAUGGCCGGCUAUGCUAUCAAGUCUUGUUCAUGUUUGGCAAGAAUGUAGGUAGACUAUAGUUUCAUUAUUAAUAUGGUGGAUCAAGUGAAGAGUGUGAGCUAGAGAACUUGGUGCUGCCAUCAUCAGCUCGUCGACAAUGACACUAUAACCGAGAAAUUUAAUAUGUAUAGAUCUACACGUAUUUAAAAUGUCUACUUCUCUGUACAGGAGCAAUGGCUAAUAUCCAGCUAUCCCAACAGUGCUCCUCUUGGCUAUACUAACGGACGAGACUGGACAGUUUGAGACACAGGACUGGAGUAUGACCUGCUCAUUCGAGCGUUGCUGGGUAGCUCAGAGACAUCAAGAGAAUCUACGUUUUCUCAAGCAAUGAGUUACGAGUUGGGGCCUAGAAUCAGAGAAGUCCAGCAGCCUGCUAAAUCUUUUUGAAACGUAAUUUGAAGGCAUUCAAUCAUCCUGAAGUUGCCCUGGGUCACUGUAAUUGUGCUGCAGCACAACUGGCAACUCCCCAGGCCUUUGUGAAGCAGCUCCCUAUGUGCAUCUUUUGUGUACUCACUCUGUGCAUUUUCUGUGUACAAAUUUUGAUUAUUGAUUUAUUAAAUAUUUUUGCCGACCACAAAUAUACAAUGAAAA